AUAUAUAUCUUAUCAUAUCACAGACGUGUGGUAUCAAGAAGUGGCGUUUUAGUAACAAACAAUGUAAACAAUUGAAUAUCAUUUCAAUAAAUUGUUAUUAAAAAAAUGUCUUCGCACACUAUACCGAUAGUCGAAGAAUUAGCUAAGGACUACGCAAAUUAUUUAAAACUAGAUUUAUCCAGUCAAAUGAAGAAUUUUCAUGAUGCAAUCGAAGAUGUAAUGAUGCGUUUAGAAGAGUUUCAGUCAAUUAUUGAAAUGGUUCAGUCUGAAAAUAGUCAAUGUACCGAUCAACAUAUCCCAAAACUACAAGACAUGCAACAAGAGGUCAUAAAUCUUAGUAGACGAAUAGAUGCUUUAGAACAUGUUAUUGCGAUGAUUAAUGUAAAUCUAACAACAUUAGAAGCUGCCGUUGAUAAUGCAGAAGCUGAAUUAGGAAUCUCUGAUAGAUUAUUUGGAAUGUUAAAUCGUUUAUCUUUCUUUAAAAAAACACAAGAACCUGUGGUACCUAAUAAAUUAUCAAUGUACGAGCCUCCAACAAUUUAUAGAACCAAUGACUAUUUUAAGAGUGAAUGAAUAAAAUACUUUAUUUUAUAGAGAUAUAUAAUAGAUUUAUCAAUUAUUUUCAUACAUUAAUAUAUGCUACAUUUUGAAGAAAAUCUUCAAUAUUUAAGAGAUAUAAAAUGUUUUCUGACAUAAAAUGUUACAGAUAAAUGUUCAUUAAUGAAUCAAAUAAAAUUAUACCUUGAAUUUA
Molecule: RNA transcript, 751 nt
Organism: Bombus impatiens (common eastern bumble bee)
Lineage: Eukaryota; Metazoa; Arthropoda; Insecta; Hymenoptera; Apidae
Gene: Blos4
Gene name: biogenesis of lysosome-related organelles complex 1 subunit 4
Exons: 5
Source: RefSeq, a predicted model, not a curated record